Molecule: ribosomal RNA, 893 nt
Filed under: uncultured Comamonadaceae bacterium
Lineage: Bacteria; Pseudomonadati; Pseudomonadota; Betaproteobacteria; Burkholderiales; Comamonadaceae
Description: bacterial SSU rRNA
Rfam family: Bacterial small subunit ribosomal RNA
Source: RNAcentral
GAUGAACGCUGACAGAAUGCUUAACACAUGCAAGUCAACUUGAAUUUGGGUUUUUAACUUAGAUUUGGGUGGCGGACGGGUGAGUAACGCGUAAAGAACUUGCCUCACAGCUAGGGACAACAUUUAGAAAUGAAUGCUAAUACCUGAUAUUAUGAUUUUAAGGCAUCUUAGAAUUAUGAAAGCUAUAAGCACUGUGAGAGAGCUUUGCGUCCCAUUAGCUAGUUGGAGAGGUAACAGCUCACCAAGGCGAUGAUGGGUAGCCGGCCUGAGAGGGUGAACGGCCACAAGGGGACUGAGACACGGCCCUUACUCCUACGGGAGGCAGCAGUGGGGAAUAUUGGACAAUGGACCGAGAGUCUGAUCCAGCAAUUCUGUGUGCACGAUGAAGUUUUUCGGAAUGUAAAGUGCUUUCAGUUGGAAAGAAAGAAAUGACGGUACCAACAGAAGAAGUGACGGCUAAAUACGUGCCAGCAGCCGCGGUAAUACGUAUGUCACGAGCGUUAUCCGGAUUUAUUGGGCGUAAAGCGCGUCUAGGUGGUUAUGUAAGUCUGAUGUGAAAAUGCACAGCUCAACUCUGUAUUGCGUUGGAAACUGUAUAACUAAAUUACUGGAGAGGUAAGCCCAACUACCCGUGUAGAAGUGAAAAUCCCCACAUACUUGUAAGAAAGCCGGAAGAGAAAACCAUCAUAUUAAGAUUUUAUUGAUGUUUAGGGUGAAGACUUGGGUAGGCAGCAUUUAGCAUCGACCAUACAGAUGAAAGAGGGAAUUGCUUGAUUUUGAUGUACUCCUACGAAGAGUCCGCCCGCCCCGGGGGGGGGGGCGGGGCGGCGGCCAGUCCAAAUUGGCCUCGGUUUUACCAAUUUCGCUUCCGUCCAGACUCCCAUUUCUACCAA